This 496-nucleotide ribosomal RNA is filed under the name uncultured bacterium. RNAcentral describes it as "partial 16S ribosomal RNA". It matches the Rfam family "Bacterial small subunit ribosomal RNA", at positions 29 to 523 of the family's 1533-position model. The record is from RNAcentral.
AUUGAACGCUGGCGGCAUGCCUUACACAUGCAAGUCGAACGGUAGAGGGGGCAACCCCUCGAGAGUGGCGAACGGGUGAGUAAUGCAUCGGAACGUGCCCAGUCGUGGGGGAUAGCCCGGGGAAACCUGGAUUAAUACCGCAUACGACGUGAGGGUGAAAGCGGGGGACCGAACGGCCUCGCGCGAGUGGAGCGGCCGAUGUCGGAUUAGGUAGUUGGUGGGGUAAAGGCCUACCAAGCCUGCGAUCCGUAGCUGGUCUGAGAGGACGACCAGCCACACUGGGACUGAGACACGGCCCAGACUCCUACGGGAGGCAGCAGUGGGGAAUUUUGGACAAUGGGCGCAAGCCUGAUCCAGCCAUGCCGCGUGCGGGAAGAAGGCCUUCGGGUUGUAAACCGCUUUUGUCAGGGAAGAAAUCCUUUGGACUAAUACUCUGGGGGGAUGACGGUACCUGAAGAAUAAGCACCGGCUAACUACGUGCCAGCCGCCGCCGUAA